RNAcentral lists this ribosomal RNA (330 nucleotides) under uncultured eukaryote. Its description in RNAcentral is "partial 18S ribosomal RNA". It matches the Rfam family "Eukaryotic small subunit ribosomal RNA", at positions 1470 to 1796 of the family's 1831-position model. The record is from RNAcentral.
CCCUUAGAUGUCCUGGGCCGCACGCGCGCUACACUGACGGAGCCAGCGAGCGUGUCCUUCGCCGAAAGGUGCGGGUAAUCUUGGCAGCCUCCGUCGUGCUGGGGAUAGAUGGUUGCAAUUAUUGAUCUUGAACGAGGAAUUCCUAGUAAGCGCGAGUCACCAGCUCGCGUUGAUUACGUCCCUGCCCUUUGUACACACCGCCCGUCGCUACUACCGAUUGGAUGGAUUACUGAGAUCUCUGGAUCUCUGCCGGCGCGGUCCUCACGGGCCGCGUUGGAUAGGGAGAAGUUGCUCUAAGUACUCUAUCUAGAGGAAGUAAAANUCGUANCA